This 72-nucleotide transfer RNA is filed under the name Phytophthora infestans (potato late blight agent). It matches the Rfam family "tRNA". From Rfam's summary of the family: Transfer RNA (tRNA) molecules are approximately 80 nucleotides in length. Their secondary structure includes four short double-helical elements and three loops (D, anti-codon, and T loops). The record is from Rfam by way of RNAcentral. RNAcentral also lists the same sequence under 1 other name. Lineage: Eukaryota; Oomycota; Peronosporomycetes; Peronosporales; Peronosporaceae.
CCGCUUUUAGCUCAGUGGUCGAGCGUUGGCUUUGGAAGCCACAGGUCGGUGGCUCGAACCCGCCAGGGCACA